Molecule: ribosomal RNA, 403 nt
Filed under: uncultured bacterium
Lineage: Bacteria
Description: partial 16S ribosomal RNA
Rfam family: Bacterial small subunit ribosomal RNA
Source: RNAcentral
AUUGAACGCUGGCGGCAGGCCUAACACAUGCAAGUCGAGCGAGCGGCGGACGGGUGAGUAAUGUAUGGGGACUGCCCGUUCGAGGGGGAUAACUACUGGAAACGGUGGCUAAUACCGCAUACUCUCGGAUAACCCAUAUGGGAUUGGCUAGUAGGUGGGGUAUAGGCUAACCUAGGCGACGAUAUCUAGCUGGUCUGAGAGGAUGAUCGGCCAAACUGGGACUGAGACACGGCCAAGACUCCUAGGGAGGCAGCAGGGGGGAAUUUUGCACAAGGGGGACAAGCCGGAUACGGACAUGCCGCGUGUAUGAAGAGGGCCUUAGGGUGGUAAAGUACUUUAAGCGGGGCGGCGGUACCCGAAGAAGAAGCACCGGCUAACUCCGUGCCAGCAGCCGCGGUAAUUC